RNAcentral lists this transfer RNA (74 nucleotides) under Naso lopezi (elongate unicornfish). RNAcentral's name for it is "tRNA-Lys". It matches the Rfam family "tRNA". Rfam says of the family: Transfer RNA (tRNA) molecules are approximately 80 nucleotides in length. Their secondary structure includes four short double-helical elements and three loops (D, anti-codon, and T loops). Lineage: Eukaryota; Metazoa; Chordata; Actinopteri; Acanthuriformes; Acanthuridae. The record is from RNAcentral.
CACUAAGAAGCUAAACAGGACUAAGCGUCAGCCUUUUAAGCUGAAGAUUGGUGACUCCUAACCACCCUUAGUGA